This is a long non-coding RNA of Anguilla rostrata (American eel), 363 nucleotides long. RefSeq lists it as uncharacterized. Lineage: Eukaryota; Metazoa; Chordata; Actinopteri; Anguilliformes; Anguillidae. The record is from RefSeq and is a predicted model, not a curated record. The transcript is spliced from 3 exons.
AUUUACAUCCACAGCCAGAGCUGGUGUGAGAUGAGGGUUGGUGUGUGAUGGCAGUAGGUGUGUGAUGAGUGUGAGUAGGUGUGUGAUGAGUGUGUGAGUAGGUGUGUGAUGAGUGUGUGAGUAGGUGUGUGAUGAGUGUGAGAGUAGGUCUGUGAGUAGAGCGUCUGCCAAAUGCCUGUAAUGUAAUGUGUGAUGAGUGUAGAUGUGAGAUGAGGGUUGGUGUGUGAUGGCAGUAGGUGUGUGAUGAGGGUUGGUGUGUGAUGAGAGUAGGUGUGUGAAGAGAGUGUGAGAGUAGGUGUGUGAUGAGGGUUGGUGUGAGAUGAGAGUAGGUGUGUGAUGAGAAUAGGUGUGUGAUGAGGGUUG